GACGAACGCUGGCGGCGUGCUUAACACAUGCAAGUCGAGCGGUAAGGCCCUUUCGGGGGUACACGAGCGGCGAACGGGUGAGUAACACGUGGGUGACCUGCCCUCAGCUCUGGGAUAAGCCUGGGAAACUGGGUCUAAUACCGGAUAUGACUCCAUGACGCAUGUUGUGGGGUGGAAAGCCUUGUGCGGCUGAGGAUGGGCCCGCGGCCUAUCAGCUUGUUGGUGGGGUGAGGCCUACCAAGGCGACGACGGGUAGCCGGCCUGAGAGGGCGACCGGCCACACUGGGACUGAGACACGGCCCAGACUCCUACGGGAGGCAGCAGUGGGGAAUCUUGCGCCAAUGGGCGAAAGCCUGACGCAGCG
This 364-nucleotide ribosomal RNA is filed under the name uncultured bacterium. RNAcentral describes it as "bacterial SSU rRNA". It matches the Rfam family "Bacterial small subunit ribosomal RNA", at positions 28 to 393 of the family's 1533-position model. The record is from RNAcentral.